This 492-nucleotide ribosomal RNA is filed under the name uncultured bacterium. RNAcentral's name for it is "partial 16S ribosomal RNA". It matches the Rfam family "Bacterial small subunit ribosomal RNA", at positions 29 to 507 of the family's 1533-position model. The record is from RNAcentral.
AGUGAACGCUGGCGGUAGGCCUAACACAUGCAAGUCGAACGGCAGCACAGUAAGAGCUUGCUCUUACGGGUGGCGAGUGGCGGACGGGUGAGGAAUACAUCGGACUCUACUUUUUCGUGGGGGAUAACGUAGGGAAACUUACGCUAAUACCGCAUACGACCUACGGGUGAAAGCAGGGGAUCUUCGGACCUUGCGCGAUUGAAUGAGCCGAUGUGGGAUUAGCUAGUUGGCGGGGUAAAGACCCACCAAGGCGACGAUCCGUAGCUGGUCUGAGAGGAUGGUCAGCGACACUGGAACUGAGACGCGGACAAGACUACUACGGGAGGCAGCAGUGGGGAAUAUUGGACAAUGGGCGCGAGCCUGAUCCAGCCAUACCGCGUGGGUGAAGAAGGCCUUCGGGUUGUAAAGCCCUUUUGUUGGGAAAGAAAAGCAGCAGGUUAAUACCCCGCUGUUCUGACGGUACCCAAAGAAUAAGCACCGGCUAACUUCGUG